GACGAACGCUGGCGGCGUGCUUAACACAUGCAAGUCGAACGGAAAGGCCCUGCUUUUGUGGGGUGCUAGAGUGGCGAACGGGAGAGUAACACGUGAGUAACCUGCCCUUUACUUUGGGAUAACUUCAAGAAACUGGGGCUAAUACCGGAUAGCAUCUCCUGCUGCAUGGAGGGGGUUGGAAAGUUUCGGCGGCUGGGGAUGGACUCGCGGCUUGUCAGCCUGUUGGUGGGGUAGUGGCUUACCAAGGCUUUGACGGGUAGCCGGCCUGCGAGGGUUACCGGCCACAUUGGGACUGAGAUACGGCCCAGACUCCUACGGGAGGCAGCAGUGGGGAAUAGUGCACAAUGGGCGGAAGCCUGAUGCAGCAACGCCGCGUGCGGGAUGACGGCCUUCGGGUUGUAAACCGCUUUCGCCUGUGACGAAGCGUGAGUGACGGUAAUGGGUAAAGAAGCACCGGCUAACUACGUG
RNAcentral lists this ribosomal RNA (468 nucleotides) under uncultured bacterium. Its description in RNAcentral is "partial 16S ribosomal RNA". It matches the Rfam family "Bacterial small subunit ribosomal RNA", at positions 28 to 507 of the family's 1533-position model. The record is from RNAcentral.